RNAcentral lists this long non-coding RNA (4650 nucleotides) under Sus scrofa (pig). RNAcentral's name for it is "lncRNA (ENSSSCG00040013593.1)". Lineage: Eukaryota; Metazoa; Chordata; Mammalia; Artiodactyla; Suidae. The record is from RNAcentral.
CCUGGAGCAGAGGGACAAGAGGAAGCAAGGGCAUGGCAGCGUGGCUGCUGUGCCUUGUGGCCAGUGGUGAGCAAAUCCCCUGGCCAGGUCCCCCUCCAAAGGCCACUGGGGGGCUCCUUUUCUAAUUCUGGCUGGCACGGUCUCCAGCCCACCCAUGGGGCCAGCGGGAGGCCCUGAGUAAUUGACACGGGGCCAGGGCAUAUGCACUGAAGUUCUGAACUCUUUACCCUAAGUCUUCCCUAGACUUUAUUUCCCAAACGCAAGCACCUGGGUCCUUCACCCACUCAUGCCUAUUAGCGGGUGCAGAAGUUUUGGUUGCCUUGGACACAUGAUGCACGGACUGAAACAUGUACUGGAAAAAUGCACAGGUGCUACAAAAUCUUCAGAAAUAACAGACACAGGUUUGCAUGACACUCUUUCACAGGAGGUGGUUCCUCCACCUCAGUUAGCUGCAGGGUUUUGUGAGGUGGAAGAGUGAGACGCAUAGUGUCUUUUUGACAGUCGAGGAAUUGGAGGCCUGGAGGUGAUGCGCGCAGGUUGCAUUGCUAGUGAGCGAAAGAACAAACCCUCCUCUGCAUGCCUUUCAUCUCCUCAGGGUGCUGUGCCUGUAUGCCACAGGAUCUUGGAGUGGUUGACCCACAGGGAGAGGGUGAAUCAGCCAGAAGCCUGCAGUUUUUACCUCCAGUCAUGCUUGACUCAGUCUGUAUAGCUGGAUAUGCUGGAGACCCAGAGUUUGUUUCCUGUUAUAUAGGAAUUCCUCUUGUUUAAUGCUUUCUACAACUGUGACAUUCAACUUUUUUUUUUUUUUUUGAAGAUGGAAGACUUCCCCAUUUGGCCAAAUGAAAAAUCUGGUAUAAAAUCCCAAUAUAUAAUACUUACAUUGAAUGGCUGUGCUUGAAGCAGGUGAUACCUUGCUUGCUCCCCCUCCUCCUGACCCUCAAAGUGGCCUGGGGACCCCUUUGCACACCUGAAGCAGUGAGGAUGGCGCCUUCAGGUCAGAGGGGCUUUGUCCUCUCUCACUCUUUCCUUCCCCCUUCGUGGUGUCCCUGGUCUGCGCCUUAGCUGUCCUCCUCAAAAAUCCCCUAAGACCUCCUGGCAUCCUCCCGCCCUGCAUAUGGCACAUGUGAGUUCAUUAUCCCAACCAAGGCACAGCGAGAAAGGUGGUGGAUGCUAGCCUUUGUGUUACGCAACUCUGCUUUCCUUCUCUUACGGCCAGAUCACAGAGGCCCCAGCUUACGGGCCAUGGACACCCCCAUUCUCAGACCAGCCAAGCCCUUGAACCUAUUCUGAGCCGUCGGCCUCUCCCUGGGCAUCAGCGUCUCCUCAGUCAGUGGCACAAAGCGCCAAACCAUGGCCCAAGGUCCUCCAACGAGAUAGAGAUACGGGCUAUGGGUGCACGAAACUUCUUGCCACCAUCCACGUUUGGAGAGUCUAAGUCCUGAUGAUUAGUACCCAGUGCUGAAUGAUCUAGGCACAGCCUUUCUAUGUAUAAUUUUAACGUUUCCUGAAAGCCUUUAUAGGUCCUGUGGGGGCCAAGAAUCCCAGUAAGUCGCUGUAUUCAGGGGCCUCACCCUCCCUCAACCCACGUGGUUUUCUCUGGAAUUGCGGAGGCGACUCCCCCCUCACUGGCCUCUGGGUGGGUGUGGGGGCUCCCCCGCUCGCCUCGGCGUGGAACGUCUCAGCAAAGCAGUCCUUGGCACAGAGACAGUCUUGCUAACGCUGGUGGCUCUGACGUUCACGCUUUCUCCUCAUGUUCCCACAUCUCUUGAUAGAGGCCAGCAAAUCAGGCCUGCUCUUUCUGCAGCGGGAGCGAGAGCGCUGUCAGGGACAUGAACAGUCCCUUCACCCCCUUCUAACUCUGCACCCCGUCUCCUGCCCCCGUGAAGGAAGGCUUGCCAGUGCGCAGGGUCUUGACUGGGUCUCUUGAGACACAUGGACAAGCCCCUUUCUUAGACCCCAGCCCUCUUAGGAAAUUCUCCCCUAUUUCUCGCUCCCGGAGCUCAUGCUCAAACAGAUGGAGCCAGGCUCUGCCCUGGAGGAGACGGGGCUCCCUUUGGGUCCUCUGUCCUAAGCCUGUGCCGUUUGACCUGGGAAGGCUUGCCCGAGGGUCUCUUGGGCUCUUGCACGCGUCUCUUUAUACAUAGAAUUGUGUUUUGUUCUCCCCGGAGCUGUGGGUUUCUUCUGGGUACCAACUCUGUUGAGAAUUCUAGAGGGACUGGAUGAGAAGUGUGAUUCAGGCGUGAGAAAUCUAUCUCAAACCUAACAUCGCAAAGAGCCUAAGUGGGGUCUGAAAGUCCACCACACCCUCCGGGAAGCAUUCUCUUUGGUGCUGGAUUCUGGAGUUCAGAUGACCUCCAAUUAUUCACUGUUAAUUACUCAACCCCCCAGCUGUCUCUCUGACACUGGACAGCUGCAUGUUCCGCCCCAAGCUCCCCAAGGCUGUGGGUAACCAGCCAUCAGACCCACCUCCCAUUCUUCCUUGUCUCCUCAGCUUAGAGGCCACAGGGACCUACCGAAUGGUCACCUUGCCCAAGUUUGUGAGUAAAAGAAAAAUGUGGAGGCGAAAUGAUCUUGGACCCUCGACCAGUGUAGACAGAUAGUCAAGGUCAUUUGGAACAGGUGUGCAAUCUUCCUUUCCUCGCAGUUGGAAUUUAAGUCCUCCUUCCUUGGAAAAUACCAUGAGCACUCUUGACUCCAGCAGCAGCUACAAUAAGAUAGUGGCAUUGGACUCUCCCUAAGCUAUGCUAAGAUAAGCAGGCGUGGUCAUUGCUGGGCCAAAAGCAUGUGCUCAGAGUGAAUUCACAGGGUAGGAUGACAGGGGAGGGGGUGGUACUUUGAAUCCCUCCAGCCUUUGAUUUCUGAACUGGAUUUGAUUUCCUUUAAAGGAAGCCCAGGUCUCUGCUUAGUCGGGGGCUUUCGCCUGUUGUGAAGUAGAUGCGCUUCCUCCUUCUGAAGUCCUGCAUCCCGCCUGUGUUGCCACCGUCCUCUCCUCUCAUCGGGUUCCCAGGGACAGCUUCCUCUCUCCCACGCCCUCUGUCUGAAGGGGCUCCCAUAUCCAUCAUUUACCCAAAUGACAAGUUGCCUCUGGAGGGACAGCUGCCUCUUGAGUUUGGCUCUAACCGUGGAUUGACUAACCAUGUGCUCCAUUAAAGGAGUUCUGUUUCCUGCGCGUGAACCUCUCCGUUUGAGGACAUGGGGGAUACUUUCUCGGACUCCCCGACAUCACAGAGGCCUGUCAUCUGUUGGGGGAAGGUGUCUCCCUAACACCUCCUCAUGUCAUCCACGAGGAUGACCUGCUGCCCCUCGCUGACCCAUGAUGGCAUCUCCAGGCCCAUCCCGACCUCUGGGACCCCAGAGCGGUCCUGGCCUCUGCAGUCCCUGGGGCUGAGUGUGUCUCACCAGGAAAUCCCUGAUGCCAAUCCCGCAGCAGCUCCUCGUGGAGUCUGGAGUGCCCGCAGGGCUGAAGGAGCAGCCCAGAGGCUCUUGGGUGGGCACUGCCUGAUGGGAAUCCACACCUGUCUUUCCAUCCUUGGGGCUUUGUGGCCACAGUGGCGCCCUUGAGGGGGCCUGCCAGCUGCCUCUGCCCGUGGGAAGCAGCUGCCAGAUCACCAACCAAAUUAAAUUCCCGGAAGACCAGAUUUACAGGCAAGAGGAAAGCAAGUCAGAGCUGAUGAGCUCUGUGUGAGUGGCCCCUCCGGCCACGUCUCUCUGGCCUCAGAUGGAGGCCGAUGCGCGCUGGCUGGGCUGCCACGUGGGUUCUCGCCUUCAGUGGAUGGCUGGUGACGCCCAGGGAGGUAGUGACGCAUUCGGGGACUCAUCCAGAUGAGAGCCUCAGGUACACGGAAGGGCUGGUGGUUACUCUGUGUCUGGCAGUGAGUGUGCAUAUCCGCAACUCCAAUUCUGCCAGCCGCUAAGCGCCGGGCUGCAGCUGGGCUAAUGCAUUGCCUCCGAGGAGCAGCUAUGGAUGGGCUGCAGAGGAAUUAACUUUGACAUAAUGGAAUUUUGUUUUCACCACUGCUCAUAAAAACAACUGCCUUGGGCAGAUGUGACUGUGUGUGGCAGUCUGUGUGUUUCCAGUAAUGACUGUGGAUGGACAGAGGGUUCUCGCUGGAGGAAAUGCCAUCCCCUGAGGACCAGGGCUGGCUGAUGAAUGAUUCAUGAAGAGCAGGGCUACCAAGAAAGAUGCUGGCUGGAGAGAGAUAAGAGAGGAUGAUGGUGCAGGCUGGGAGAGGGGGGGAAGGUGCGUUUUAUUCGUGUGUGUGAUGCCAGCGAGGCUGGCUGGUGCCAAUGGCUUAGAAUCAUCUCAGGGGGCAGCAACCAGAGUCAGUGGCCUUGGAGCGGGAUGAGAAGAGGCCUCCUCAGAAGCUCCCCUCCCCCGCCUCCUCUGGGCGACCUUGACCCUCCCUCUGGGGACACGUGGUGCCCUCCCUCAGCCCUCCACUCCUUUGCCCUGGCUAUGCCCCGCCCCCCCAUUCACUGCUUUUUCUUUUCAGAGAUUGACUCUCUUGACUCUAUUUCCCUGAAACUGCAGCUCCGAUUCUCUGCUAACAGAACCCCUGGGGAGCCCUGCCACUCUGAUCGUGCCCUCUCACCCCUCCCUGGGCCACAGAAUGUCCCCUGGAGAGUCCCACAAGGGCUCCCAGAUGCCAG